Small nucleolar RNA from Hevea brasiliensis (rubber tree), 90 nucleotides. RefSeq annotates it as small nucleolar RNA U61. The transcript has a single exon. Lineage: Eukaryota; Viridiplantae; Streptophyta; Magnoliopsida; Malpighiales; Euphorbiaceae. The record is from RefSeq and is a predicted model, not a curated record.
AUGCCGUGAUGAAAUCUUUUUGUGUUCCAGAGAUGAGUCUUUUGAGCUCGUCUUUGAUGGUAACACAACCCUCUAAGAAGUUCUGAGCUG